RNAcentral lists this long non-coding RNA (722 nucleotides) under Prunus persica (peach). RNAcentral describes it as "long non-coding RNA (PPER_LNC006021)". Lineage: Eukaryota; Viridiplantae; Streptophyta; Magnoliopsida; Rosales; Rosaceae. The record is from RNAcentral.
UUUAAAUAGAUGGAGAGCUUUCACUAUUCAACAGUUGUCAGAGGGAGACAAAAAGGGUUCUAGAACAAAAAGAGAUAGUCAGAUAACUCACUUAUUUGUUUAGUUUUCCUCUUUCAGGUUGAACCGCCUCUAUCAAUUAAUGUGAUAGCUUCGGGAAAAACAGUGCCCAAUUGAAGUUAUGAUUUCAAGACAAAUUGGUUUGUGUUAUUAAUUAUAUUAUUUGAAAACUUAUUAUAUUUAUGUUGUGAUUGCUGGAGACUCAGUGUUGAUUGCUGGAGACUUAGAAUAGAAUGGGAAGUGAGACUCCCUUACAGGAGUCGAACCAUAGUUCAUAAGAUGGAAAGAAAAGUACAUAAAUAGGUCUGACAGGUGAGAGAAGCGAGUUGUUGGCUGAUGUCCCAAUGAGUCUCUAUUCAUCUUCAUUCAAGGCAUGACGCAUUUGACCGAGUGGAGACAGCUGUGGAAGCAGCAAUCCCUUGCCUCAUGAAGGAGAUAAGCUUUACGUUAUCUAGCCUAUUUCCUCAACUUCGUCGACCAUUGGAACUCCUUUGUAAAAAAACAAAAAGUGUUAUAAAACUAAAGAGAUUGUUGUGAGAAUAUAGAGAAAUUAUAGAAUCUGAUGUUUUCAUUGAGUCUGUUGUUCUAUCUAUUACAAUGAGGAGGGUGCCUUAUUUUAUAGGCAAAGAUUAUUGCCUUCCGUGGAUGUACAGUUUGCUCUCAAG